AGCGAACGCUGGCGGCAUGCCUAACACAUGCAAGUCGAACGAGACCUUCGGGUCUAGUGGCGCACGGGUGCGUAACGCGUGGGAACCUGCCCUUAGGUUCGGAAUAACUCCCCGAAAGGGGUGCUAAUACCGGAUAAUGUCUUCGGACCAAAGAUUUAUCGCCUUUGGAUGGGCCCGCGUUGGAUUAGCUAGUUGGUAGGGUAAAAGCCUACCAAGGCGACGAUCCAUAGCUGGUCUGAGAGGAUGAUCAGCCACACUGGGACUGAGACACGGCCCAGACUCCUACGGGAGGGAGCAGUGGGGAAUAUUGGACAAUGGGCGAAAGCCUGAUCCAGCAAUGCCGCGUGAGUGAUGAAGGCCUUAGGGUUGUAAAGCUCUUUUACCCGGGAUGAUAAUGACAGUACCGGGAGAAUAAGCUCCGGCUAACUCCGUG
This 433-nucleotide ribosomal RNA is filed under the name uncultured bacterium. RNAcentral's name for it is "partial 16S ribosomal RNA". It matches the Rfam family "Bacterial small subunit ribosomal RNA", at positions 29 to 507 of the family's 1533-position model. The record is from RNAcentral.